RNAcentral lists this ribosomal RNA (465 nucleotides) under uncultured bacterium. Its description in RNAcentral is "partial 16S ribosomal RNA". It matches the Rfam family "Bacterial small subunit ribosomal RNA", at positions 338 to 795 of the family's 1533-position model. The record is from RNAcentral.
CCUACGGGGGGCAGCAGUAGGGAAUCUUGCACAAUGGACGAAAGUCUGAUGGAGCAACGCCGCAUGAGGGAUGAAGGGCUUCGGAUCGUAAAGCUCUGUCGGCAGGGAAGAAAGAUCAAGGUAGUAAUUAGCCUUGAUUUGACGGUAACUACAUAGGAAGUACCGGCUAACUACGUGCCAGCAGCCGCGGUAAUACGGAGGUUGCAAGCGUUGACCGGAUUUAUUGGGCGUAAAGCGCGUGCAGGCGGUACGAUAAGUCUGAGGUGAAAGCCUUCGGCUCAACCUGGGAAUUGCAUCUGAAACUGGUGAACUUGAGUGCAGGAGAGGAGAGUGGAACUCCAGGUGUAGCGGUGCAAUGCGUAGAUAUAUGGAAGAACAUCAGUGGCGAAGGCGACUCUCUGGUCUGCAACUGACGCUGAGGCUCGAAAGCGUGGGUAGCGAACAGGAUUAGAUACCCUAGUAGUC